AUACGUAGGGUGCGAGCGUUAAUCGGAAUUACUGGGCGUAAAGCGUGCGCAGGCGGCUAUGCAAGACAGAUGUGAAAUCCCCGGGCUCAACCUGGGAACUGCAUUUGUGACUGCAUGGCUAGAGUGCGUCAGAGGGAGGUGGAAUUCCGCGUGUAGCAGUGAAAUGCGUAGAGAUGCGGAGGAACACCGAUGGCGAAGGCAGCCUCCUGGGAUGACACUGACGCUCAUGCACGAAAGCGUGGGGAGCAAACAGGAUUAGAUACCCUGGUAGUCCACGCCCUAAACGAUGUCAACUAGUUGUCGGGGAUUCAUUUCCUUGGUAACGCAGCUAACGCGUAAAGUUGACCGCCUGGGGAGUACGGCCGCAAGGUUAAA
Molecule: ribosomal RNA, 375 nt
Filed under: uncultured bacterium
Lineage: Bacteria
Description: bacterial SSU rRNA
Rfam family: Bacterial small subunit ribosomal RNA
Source: RNAcentral